GAGUUUGAUCCUGGCUCAGGACGAACGCUGGCGGCGUGCUUAACACAUGCAAGUCGAACGGUGAUGUCAGAGCUUGCUCUGGCGGAUCAGUGGCGAACGGGUGAGUAACACGUGAGUAACCUGCCCCCGACUCUGGGAUAACUGCUAGAAAUGGUAGCUAAUACCGGAUAUGACGAUUGGCCGCAUGGUCUGGUCGUGGAAAGAAUUUCGGUUGGGGAUGGACUCGCGGCCUAUCAGGUUGUUGGUGAGGUAAUGGCUCACCAAGCCUACGACGGGUAGCCGGCCUGAGAGGGUGACCGGCCACACUGGGACUGAGACACGGCCCAGACUCCUACGGGAGGCAGCAGUGGGGAAUAUUGCACAAUGGGCGAAAGCCUGAUGCAGCAACGCCGCGUGAGGGAUGACGGCCUUCGGGUUGUAAACCUCUUUUAGUAGGGAAGAAGCGAAAGUGACGGUACCUGCA
RNAcentral lists this ribosomal RNA (463 nucleotides) under Clavibacter sepedonicus. RNAcentral describes it as "bacterial SSU rRNA". It matches the Rfam family "Bacterial small subunit ribosomal RNA", at positions 9 to 483 of the family's 1533-position model. Lineage: Bacteria; Bacillati; Actinomycetota; Actinomycetes; Micrococcales; Microbacteriaceae. The record is from RNAcentral.